UGGGGAAUAUUGCGCAAUGGGCGGAAGCCUGACGCAGCCACGCCGCGUGAGUGAUGAAGGCCUUCGGGUUGUAAAGCUCUGUCGGGAGGGAAGAAGAUCUGACGGUACCUCCCAAGAAAGCACCGGCUAACUCCGUGCCAGCAGCCGCGGUAAUACGGAGGGUGCAAGCGUUGCUCGGAAUCACUGGGCGUAAAGCGAACGCAGGCGGCUCUGCAAGUCGGGUGUGAAAGCCCGGGGCUCAACCCCGGAAAUGCACUCGAAACUGCAGGCCUUGAAUACGGGAGAGGAGAGCGGAAUUCCUGGUGUAGAGGUGAAAUUCGUAGAUAUCAGGAGGAACACCGGUGGCGAAAGCGGCUCUCUGGCCCGAUAUUGACGCUCAUGUUCGAAAGCGUGGGUAGCAAACAGGAUUAGAUACCCCCGUAGUCC
This 426-nucleotide ribosomal RNA is filed under the name uncultured prokaryote. Its description in RNAcentral is "bacterial SSU rRNA". It matches the Rfam family "Bacterial small subunit ribosomal RNA", at positions 355 to 796 of the family's 1533-position model. The record is from RNAcentral.